This 528-nucleotide ribosomal RNA is filed under the name uncultured Chloroflexota bacterium. RNAcentral describes it as "bacterial SSU rRNA". It matches the Rfam family "Bacterial small subunit ribosomal RNA", at positions 8 to 551 of the family's 1533-position model. The record is from RNAcentral. Lineage: Bacteria; Bacillati; Chloroflexota.
AGAGUUUGAUCCUGGCUCAGGAUCAACGCUGGCGGCGUGCCUAACACAUGCAAGUCGAACGUCCUCCGGCCGCAAGGUCGGAGGGAGUGGCGGACGGGUGAGUAACACAUGGGAACCUACCUUCCAGUGAGGAAUACCGGCGAGAAAUCGCCGACAAGACCGCAUGGGCUUCUCCCUUUGGGGGAAGCAAAGUUUCUUCGCGAGAGGAGACGCUGGAAGAUGGGCCUGUGGCCGAUUAGCUAGCUGGUGGGGUAAGAGCCUACCAGGGCCAUGAUCGGUAGCUGGUCUGAGAGGACGAGCAGCCACACUGGGAUUGAGAACGGCCCAGACUCCUACGGGGGGCAGCAGUGAGGAAUUUUCCGCAAUGGGCGCAAGCCUGACGGAGCAACGCCGCGUGCAGGAAGACGGCCUUCGGGUUGUAAACUGCUUUACUGGGGGACGAGCAAGGACGGUACCCCAGCAAUCAGCCCCGGCUAACUACGUGCCAGCAGCCGCGGUAAUACGUAGGGGGCGAGCGUUGUCCGGAGU